GCCCGCACCUCGGGGGGCCCUACUGGGCUGAGAUGCGGCAACGCGGACCCGUUGAACCUGAACCGGUUAGGACCGGCGGAGGGAAGGUGCGUGGCCCGGCC
Molecule: non-coding RNA, 101 nt
Filed under: Rhodobacterales bacterium
Lineage: Bacteria; Pseudomonadati; Pseudomonadota; Alphaproteobacteria; Rhodobacterales
Description: TPP sequence
Rfam family: TPP riboswitch aptamer (THI element)
About the family: Vitamin B(1) in its active form thiamin pyrophosphate (TPP) is an essential coenzyme that is synthesised by coupling of pyrimidine and thiazole moieties in bacteria. The previously detected thiamin-regulatory element, thi box was extended, resulting in a new, highly conserved RNA secondary structure, the THI element, which is widely distributed in eubacteria and also occurs in some archaea. Analysis of operon structures identified a large number of new candidate thiamin-regulated genes, mostly transporters, in various prokaryotic organisms.
Source: RNAcentral